This 19-nucleotide transfer RNA is filed under the name Betta pi. RNAcentral's name for it is "partial tRNA-Thr". RNAcentral also lists the same sequence under 2 other names. The record is from RNAcentral. Lineage: Eukaryota; Metazoa; Chordata; Actinopteri; Anabantiformes; Osphronemidae.
GCCCUAGUAGCUCAGUAUU